AGUGAACGCUGGCGGUAGGCCUAACACAUGCAAGUCGAACGGCAGCACAGUAAGAGCUUGCUCUUACGGGUGGCGAGUGGCGGACGGGUGAGGAAUACAUCGGAAUCUACUUUUUCGUGGGGGAUAACGUAGGGAAACUUACGCUAAUACCGCAUACGACCUACGGGUGAAAGCAGGGGAUCUUCGGACCUUGCGCGAUUGAAUGAGCCGAUGUCGGAUUAGCUAGUUGGCGGGGUAAAGGCCCACCAAGGCGACGAUCCGUAGCUGGUCUGAGAGGAUGAUCAGCCACACUGGAACUGAGACACGGUCCAGACUCCUACGGGAGGCAGCAGUGGGGAAUAUUGGACAAUGGGCGCAAGCCUGAUCCAGCCAUACCGCGUGAGUGAAGAAGGCCUUCGGGUUGCAAAGCCCUUUUGUUGGGAAAGAAAAGCAGCAGGUUAAUACCCCGCUGUUCUGACGGUACCCAAAGAAUAAGCACCGGCUAACUUCGUG
Molecule: ribosomal RNA, 492 nt
Filed under: uncultured bacterium
Lineage: Bacteria
Description: partial 16S ribosomal RNA
Rfam family: Bacterial small subunit ribosomal RNA
Source: RNAcentral